Molecule: ribosomal RNA, 442 nt
Filed under: uncultured bacterium
Lineage: Bacteria
Description: partial 16S ribosomal RNA
Rfam family: Bacterial small subunit ribosomal RNA
Source: RNAcentral
CCUACGGGGGGCAGCAGUGGGGAAUAUUGGGCAAUGGGCGCAAGCCUGACCCAGCAACGCCGCGUGAAGGAAGAAGGCUUUCGGGUUGUAAACUUCUUUUGACAGGGAAGAGUAGAAGACGGUACCUGUCGAAUAAGCCACGGCUAACUACGUGCCAGCAGCCGCGGUAAUACGUAGGUGGCAAGCGUUUUCCGGAUUUACUGGGGGUAAAGGGCGUGUAGCCGGGUUGACAAGUCAGAUGUGAAAUCCUGCGGCUUAACCGCAGAACUGCAUUUGAAACUGUUGAUCUUGAGUACUGGAGAGGCAGACGGAAUUCCUAGUGUAGCGGUGAAAUGCGUAGAUAUUAGGAGGAACACCAGUGGCGAAGGCGGCCUGCUGGACGACAACUGACGGUGAGGCGCGAAAGCGUGGGGAGCAAACAGGAUUAGAUACCCUAGUAGUC